UACAGAGGGGGCAAGCGUUAUUCGGAAUUAUUGGGCGUAAAGGGCGCGUAGGCGGCUUUUCAAGUGACGGGUGAAAUCCCUCGGCUUAACCGAGGAACUGCCUGUCAGACUGGAAGGCUUGAGACCGGGAGAGGUGAGUGGAAUUCCCAGUGUAGCGGUGAAAUGCGUAGAUAUUGGGAGGAACACCAGUGGCGAAGGCGGCUCACUGGACCGGAACUGACGCUGAGGCGCGAAAGCGUGGGGAGCAAACAGGAUUAGAAACCCCCGUAGUCC
RNAcentral lists this ribosomal RNA (273 nucleotides) under uncultured bacterium. Its description in RNAcentral is "partial 16S ribosomal RNA". It matches the Rfam family "Bacterial small subunit ribosomal RNA", at positions 524 to 796 of the family's 1533-position model. The record is from RNAcentral.